RNAcentral lists this ribosomal RNA (1103 nucleotides) under Staphylococcus aureus. RNAcentral describes it as "partial 23S ribosomal RNA". It matches the Rfam family "Bacterial large subunit ribosomal RNA", at positions 231 to 1338 of the family's 2925-position model. Lineage: Bacteria; Bacillati; Bacillota; Bacilli; Caryophanales; Staphylococcaceae. The record is from RNAcentral.
UCGAUUCCCUUAGUAGCGGCGAGCGAAACGGGAAGAGCCCAAACCAACAAGCUUGCUUGUUGGGGUUGUAGGACACUCUAUACGGAGUUACAAAGGACGACAUUAGACGAAUCAUCUGGAAAGAUGAAUCAAAGAAGGUAAUAAUCCUGUAGUCGAAAAUGUUGUCUCUCUUGAGUGGAUCCUGAGUACGACGGAGCACGUGAAAUUCCGUCGGAAUCUGGGAGGACCAUCUCCUAAGGCUAAAUACUCUCUAGUGACCGAUAGUGAACCAGUACCGUGAGGGAAAGGUGAAAAGCACCCCGGAAGGGGAGUGAAAUAGAACCUGAAACCGUGUGCUUACAAGUAGUCAGAGCCCGUUAAUGGGUGAUGGCGUGCCUUUUGUAGAAUGAACCGGCGAGUUACGAUUUGAUGCAAGGUUAAGCAGUAAAUGUGGAGCCGUAGCGAAAGCGAGUCUGAAUAGGGCGUUUAGUAUUUGGUCGUAGACCCGAAACCAGGUGAUCUACCCUUGGUCAGGUUGAAGUUCAGGUAACACUGAAUGGAGGACCGAACCGACUUACGUUGAAAAGUGAGCGGAUGAACUGAGGGUAGCGGAGAAAUUCCAAUCGAACCUGGAGAUAGCUGGUUCUCUCCGAAAUAGCUUUAGGGCUAGCCUCAAGUGAUGAUUAUUGGAGGUAGAGCACUGUUUGGACGAGGGGCCCCUCUCGGGUUACCGAAUUCAGACAAACUCCGAAUGCCAAUUAAUUUAACUUGGGAGUCAGAACAUGGGUGAUAAGGUCCGUGUUCGAAAGGGAAACAGCCCAGACCACCAGCUAAGGUCCCAAAAUAUAUGUUAAGUGGAAAAGGAUGUGGCGUUGCCCAGACAACUAGGAUGUUGGCUUAGAAGCAGCCAUCAUUUAAAGAGUGCGUAAUAGCUCACUAGUCGAGUGACACUGCGCCGAAAAUGUACCGGGGCUAAACAUAUUACCGAAGCUGUGGAUUGUCCUUUGGACAAUGGUAGGAGAGCGUUCUAAGGGCGUUGAAGCAUGAUCGUAAGGACAUGUGGAGCGCUUAGAAGUGAGAAUGCCGGUGUGAGUAGCGAAAGACGGGUGAGAAUCCCGUCCACC